CGCGUAGGCGGCCUGCUAAGUCACACGUGAAAUCCCUCGGCUCAACCGGGGAACUGCGUCUGAUACUGGAUGGCUUGAGUUCGGGAGAGGGAUGCGGAAUUCCAGGUGUAGCGGUGAAAUGCGUAGAUAUCUGGAGGAACACCGGUGGCGAAGGCGGCAUCCUGGACCGAUACUGACGCUGAGGAGCGAAAGCCAGGGGAGCAAACG
This 207-nucleotide ribosomal RNA is filed under the name uncultured bacterium. RNAcentral's name for it is "partial 16S ribosomal RNA". It matches the Rfam family "Bacterial small subunit ribosomal RNA", at positions 568 to 774 of the family's 1533-position model. The record is from RNAcentral.